Mobula hypostoma (lesser devil ray) is the source of this 3052-nucleotide long non-coding RNA. RefSeq lists it as uncharacterized. Lineage: Eukaryota; Metazoa; Chordata; Chondrichthyes; Myliobatiformes; Myliobatidae. The record is from RefSeq and is a predicted model, not a curated record. The transcript is spliced from 4 exons.
GUCAGCUCUGAGAUGUAAAGAGCAUGAGUUUUGACUCACCCUAAUUGAAGACAGAUGCCUGGCUGCUGCAGUCUGACCUGCACCCUCCCUUUUCCUCACUGAAGUGGGAGCGUUCUGCUCAUUGUUACGGGAUGAGGUCCCAUGAUAUCUAGAACACCAUGUAGUUUGAAAAAAAAAGGCAACCCUCUUCCUCCUUUUCCUGACCUGAAGAACAUUGAAGCAAGACGGAGCAGACAGUGUGUGUGACUCCACCACAACGUACUGGAAAAACUACCUGGAAUGGAGGAAAACAUUCUGACCUGACGAUGAGAGGAGGGAAUUCCAAACACAGGCCUUGUGAAGACAGAGCUUCCUGUGUUAAUACCACAGGGCAGUGUAGCUGUCAAGAAGUGAUCCAGGCUCGACAAGAAGCUGGGAGACCUCAGCCUUGACCCCGCCUUGUGCAGUUGGAUCCUGGACUUCCUGUCAGUUCGCCAGCAGGUUGUAAGAGUGAACUCCCUCACCUCCAACCCACUGACUCUCAAUACAGGAGCCCCUCAGGGCCAUGUACUGAGUCUCCUCCUUUACUCCCUGUAUACCCAUGACUGUAUCACCACCCACAGCUCCAAUUUGCUAAUUAAAUUUGUUGAUGACACUACAUUGAUUGGCCUAAUCUCAAACAAUAAUGAGGUGGCCUACAGGGAAGAAGUCAUCACCCUGACACAGUGGUGUCAAGAAAACAACCUCUCCCUCAAUGUCACAAAAGCAAAGGAGCUCAUUGUGGACUACAGGAGGAAUGGAGACAGGCUAACCCCUACUAACAUCAAUGGAUCUGGGGUUGAGAGGGUGAACAGCUUCAAGUUCCUCGGCAUUUACAUCACCGAGGACCUCACAUGGGCUGUACACAACAGCACCUCUUUCACCUCAGACGGUUGAGGAAGUUUGGUAUGGGCCCCCAAAUCCUAAGAACUUUCUACAGGGGCACAAUUGAGAGCAUCCUGACUGGUUGUAUCACUGCCUGGUUUGGGAACUGUACCUCCCUCAACCGCAGGGCUCUGCAGAGAGUGGUGUGGACAGCCCAGCACACCUUCCCAGGAUUCAGGACAUUUACAAGGACAGGAUUAUUGGGGACCCAAGCUAUCCCAACCACAAUCUACUCCAGCUGCUACCAUCUGGGAAGUGGUACCGCAGCAUAAAAGCCAGGACCAACAGGCACCGGGACAGCUUCUUCCACCAGGCCAUCAAACUGAUGAACUCACACUGAUUUGAGUGAACUCUAUAUUACAUUGACUGUUCUAUUUAUUAUAAAUUACUAUGAUUGCACAUGGCACAUUGAGAUGGAGACAUAACAUAAAGAUUUUUACUCAUGUAUGUGAAAGAUGUAAGAAAUAAAGUCAAUUCAGUUCAGUUCACAUGUCCUUCCGGAGACAUUCUGCGCGAUUCCUGCUUGGCAUUUAUGAGACUCUAGGUUCUCGGAGACAGAGGGUGGCAAAGUGGCGCACCUGGUGUCACAGUUCCAGAGAAUCCGCAUUCGAUCCCAACCUCCAGUGCUGUUCUGAUGUAGAGUUUCUAUGUUCUCCCAUGACCACAUGGGUUUCCUCUGGGUGCUCCGGUUUCCAAAGUCACAGCCCAAAGACGUGUGGGUCCAGAGGUUAACUGUAUGCUGUAAAGUGGGUGGGAGAAUCUGGAACGGGUGUGUGUAUGAUGGGAACAUCAGGAGAAUAAUAUGAGAUUAGUGCAGCAUUAGUCUAAGUGCUUGGCUGAUGGUUAGCAGACUCGAUGGUCAAAGGAUCUGUUUUUGUGUUGAAUGAACAUCUGACCCUAGUAUUGAUACUGGCACUGAAUUCAGCCAGGGUAAUUUCAAUUCAAUGCCAGCCAACUGACAAACACCCGAGUAUUGGCAUCUAAACUGGGGCAGUUGUACCACAGGGCUCUGAAGCAAUAAGCGACAGUGAUAAUCGCAGCUUCACAAUGUGCUGGACUCCUCUAGCACAAUCACUGUCCCUGUAGGGACAGGGGAAGGCACGUGGUUAGCAAGUGGGAGGGAGCAGUCCAUAGGAUCAUUUCCAGACGCCAUGCUAUUUCAUAGUAUCAGCAUCAGACACAGACAAUACCACCCCAGCUUAUUACCAGCUCAGCAUUCCAUGGAGCAAAGUGAUGGAAGCUGAACUAACAGCAUUAUCCAUGACACAUAUUCCACAUGGAUGCCCAGCAUGUCUUUCUCCAUAGAUACUUUGCUCUGGUCCUCAUCACAGCCCUGGUUCAACACAGAGCAGAGCUGAAUUCCAGAGGCAAGGUGAGGGCAAAUGCCCUCAAUGUUGAGUAUUGUGCCAAAAAGCCGUAGUAAAUCGUAAGUCAGUGGGCAUCAAAAUGGAAUGAACUCCAUUGGUGGAGUCAGACAUCUCUCAAUGGAAGAUGUUUGUGGUGGUUGGAGGUCAAUCAUCAUCCCAGUGCAGGAGUUCCUCAGGACAGCGUCCCAGUCCCAACCUGUACACCUGCUUCAUCUUUCCAUUCCAUGGCAAAGUGAGAAGUGGGGUCGUUUACUGACGUGGAGCCCAGUUCACACCUCCCCAGCAGAUGCAGUGGCCCAUGCCUGCACACUGUAAGGUCGAGACAAUGUCCAGACACGGGUUAAUAGAUGGCCAGUAACACAUGCCACAGAAGUAGCAAUGACCACUGGGGCUGACCACCUACCCUUCUCAUCACUGAGAAUCUCACCCCUCCCCCAACACCACUCCACAGUCAACAUCUGGGGGGGGGGGGGGAACUUACUGUUAACCAGAAACAUGAGUGGAUCAGCCACAUAAAUACUGUGACAAGACCAGGCCAGAGAUUGUGUCCUGUGACAAGCGACUCACCUCCUAACAUCCCAGCACCUUCCCACCAUCCACAAGGCAGCAGUGAUGGGACAAGGGGUAGAAUGCUUGAAAGAGAUGUAUGCUUGUUUGCAGAGUGGUAGGUGCCCGUGAUGUACUGCCAGUGGAGGUGUGGGAGCAGGCAUGAUAGUGCCCAGGAGGCACCUGGACAGGCAGGGAAUGGACAGAUAUGCAUCAUGUGCAGGCAGACGCACAGU